GGGGAUUUGGCUCAGUGGUAGAGCGCUUGCCUAGCAAGCGAAAGGCCCUGGGUUCGGUCCCCAGCUCCG
This is a non-coding RNA of Rattus norvegicus (Norway rat), 69 nucleotides long. The record is from Rfam. Lineage: Eukaryota; Metazoa; Chordata; Mammalia; Rodentia; Muridae.